This 76-nucleotide transfer RNA is filed under the name Pirellula sp. SH-Sr6A. RNAcentral's name for it is "tRNA-Gln". It matches the Rfam family "tRNA". Rfam says of the family: Transfer RNA (tRNA) molecules are approximately 80 nucleotides in length. Their secondary structure includes four short double-helical elements and three loops (D, anti-codon, and T loops). Further hydrogen bonds mediate the characteristic L-shaped molecular structure. tRNAs have two regions of fundamental functional importance: the anti-codon, which is responsible for specific mRNA codon recognition, and the 3' end, to which the tRNAs corresponding amino acid is attached (by aminoacyl-tRNA synthetases). tRNAs cope with the degeneracy of the genetic code in two manners: having more than one tRNA (with a specific anti-codon) for a particular amino acid; and 'wobble' base-pairing, i.e. permitting non-standard base-pairing at the 3rd anti-codon position. Lineage: Bacteria; Pseudomonadati; Planctomycetota; Planctomycetia; Pirellulales; Pirellulaceae. The record is from RNAcentral.
UCCGGAGUAGCAACUGUUGGUCGUUGCGUCUGGCUCUGAACCAGAAGCUCGCAGGUUCGAUUCCUGUCUCCGGUGC